CUUUAUUUUUAUACUUCAGAAGGUGAGAUCUUUCCAAAGAUGAUAUCUCCUGAAUUUGGGUAUCUAAAUCUUUUCUAUGAUAUCCCUUUUGUAUAAAUUGUUUCUUCAAGAGUUCAGCUUGGUUGGAAAAAUCUUGUACAUUCGUGCAAUUUCUACGUAAUCUUAGGAACUGCCCCUUAGGGAUAUUGGUCAACCAAGGUUUAUGGUGACAGCUGCUAAUCUCAAAAUAGCUAUUGACAUCAACUUGUUUAAAAAAAGUGCGAGUAGUUAAAGCAUUAUUACAGACAUAAAUAUUAAGAUCUAAAAAAUCAAUGCUUAUAUUACUCACACUUUUUGUUAAAUGAAUUCCCCAAUCAUUGCAAUUGAGAGAAGUAAAAAAUUUAUUAAAAAUAUCCUCAGACCCCUUCCAAAUUAUAAAAAUAUCAUCAAUGUAUCGUUUGUACAGGACCAGGUUUGCAUCACAGUCAUGUUCUCGAUAAAUAAAAGUGUGUUCCCAAUAUGCCAUGAAGAGAUCGCCAUAACUGGGUGGAAACCUGGUCUCCAUAGCUGUACCUCGAACUUGCAAGUAAAAAUCUCCUUCAAACCAGAAAUAGUUAUUUUCCAAGAUGUGCAUACCCUCUAAAAUAAAAUUCUGUUGGACUUCAUUAUACUUCUUAGAUUCUUGUAAAAAGAACCUUGUGGCCUAACAUCCCUUUUCAUGUUUAAUGAUGGUGUACAGACUAGUUACGUCACAUGUAAUGAGAAGAUAAUCGUCUUCCCAUUUAAAACUAUUUAGCAUAUUGAGCAGGCUCAUUGAAUCCUGAAGAUAAGAGGGACAGUUUUUUACUAGAGGUUGAAGAUGAAAAUCUAUAUAUUGCAAAAAUGGAGAUAGAAUAGAAUUUAUGCCUGAUAUUAUAGGGUGUCCUGGUGGAUUUAUAGGAUCCUUAUGUAGCUUAGGUAAUACGUAAAUCACUGGUAUACGGGGGUGGUCAAGCAAUAAAAAGGCUAAUUCUCCCUUAUUUAAAACGUUAUGCUUUUCCCCUUGUUCUAGAAAAAUUUGAUAAUUUUUCUUAAUCUCUUGUGUGGGAUCUUUUUUCAGUUUUUGUUAUACGUAUUAAUAUCUUAAAGCUGUUUUUCUAUUUCUUGUAAAUAUUUUUUCUUAUCCAUUAUAACUACUCCCCCCCCCUUAUCAGCUGGUUUAAUAACCAUCGAUGAGUCAUCUUUUAAUUCUUCUAAAUGCCUUUUCUCCUCGAAUGUUAAAUUUAAACUAUAUUUAGAAAGGAGUUUAAUCUUAUAUAUUUCAUCCAGACAUGCCCGCUCAAAGACUUUCAUU
Pelobates cultripes (western spadefoot toad) is the source of this 1312-nucleotide non-coding RNA. The record is from the annotation of a GenBank genome assembly. Lineage: Eukaryota; Metazoa; Chordata; Amphibia; Anura; Pelobatidae.